Molecule: ribosomal RNA, 380 nt
Filed under: uncultured eukaryote
Lineage: Eukaryota
Description: partial 18S ribosomal RNA
Rfam family: Eukaryotic small subunit ribosomal RNA
Source: RNAcentral
CAAUAGCGUAUAUUAAAGUUGUUGCAGUUAAAAAGCUCGUAGUUGGAUUUCUGCUGAGGACGAUCGGUCCGCCCACUGGGUGAGUAUCUGGCUCGGCCUUGGCAUCUUCUUGGAGAACGUUGCUGCACUUGACUGUGUGGCGCGGUAUCCAGGACUUUUACUUUGAGGAAAUUAGAGUGUUUCAAGCAGGCGCACGCCUUGAAUACAUUAGCAUGGAAUAAUGAGAUAGGACCUUGGUUCUAUUUUGUUGGUUUCUAGAGCUGAGGUAAUGAUUAAUAGGGAUAGUUGGGGGCAUUCGUAUUUAACUGUCAGGGGUGAAAUUCUUGGAUUUGUUAAAGACGGACUACUGCGAAAGCAUUUGCCAAGGAUGUUUUCAUUGA